Molecule: long non-coding RNA, 1430 nt
Organism: Brassica rapa (field mustard)
Lineage: Eukaryota; Viridiplantae; Streptophyta; Magnoliopsida; Brassicales; Brassicaceae
Source: RefSeq, a predicted model, not a curated record
GGUUUGGUGAAGGUAGGAGGUGAGGCAGCUAGCUUGUUGUCAUCUAUCUAUACAACAACAAAAAAAAAGGGUUAAAAACUGAAGUUAGCUUUGUCCGAAUGUUAUGUUAAGAAAUCACUAAUAUAAUCACUUUUAGUAACUAGUCUAAAUUAAAGGAUUUAUUUGAAUAACAACAGGUUUCUUGCAGUUUGAUAAUGCAAAAAAAUAUAUAAUAUAAAUAACUUUGGUAGUGGCAUAUAUCGAUCGUACUAAUUUAGAAACAUAUUAUAUAAUUUAUUUUAUAUUUACGUGUCACUAUUAUUGAAAGUAGCGUUAGUUUUAACUAUUUUAUUAAAAGUAUUAUAGUCAAACUAAAUCAUGUAUAUUUAAACAAAAAUCUACUGAAUAUCUUAAUGGAUGAUUAAAUAAAAAUCUAAAUAAUAUUCUUUUACUAUAUAUAGAUAUUGUAAUUAAUUUUGAUUUCAAUAAAAACAUCAAAUCUUAGUUAAUUUAAUUUAUUAUAUCAAUUUUAUUAUUUUAAGUUUAUACUUAAAAAUGUUAACUACAGUUUAAAUUAGAUUUACACAAACUUGUCAUAUAUUAUUUGUAAAUUAAUUUAAUCUAAUAAAAAUACUAUGACUUUAUUUGUGAUAAAAUUCAUCAAAGGUCAUAGUUUUCAAUGCUUUAUUAAAUGGGUUUAGAGCAAUAUAAAACGUUAAACCGGUACUAGUUAUAAAAAGCCUUGUAAAGCACACAAGAACAAAAAGUCAUAGGAUACAGGAAGACUUUCAAUCGCGAGAAAAGGAAAGAAAAAGCGUGAAACAGUGGCUGAUGGUGAACAGGCUCAAGCAUUUGGCGCAUUCACAUCCAUGAAAAUCUUUCAAUGUCAAUGUCAAUGUCAAUUUAGCAACAACCCACCGUUUUGACUUCAAAUAUAAAUAUUCGCCUAUCUCAUACACUCUUCAAUUUUUUAUUUUUUUUCAAUACACUCUUCAAUUAAUUUAUUUUAAUAUAUUUGUGGCUACGAUAAGGAAAAAUGUAGAAAGAGACGCACCUACCAAGAAAGACAGACAGCGACAUGGAGAAAUGGUGUUACCUGCCUCUCACCAAAUCCACCAUUACCCCCCAAAUCUGUGACCGUCUCGUUUGCAAACCACGUACCUUAAAACGGGCUUUCUUAUUUGGAAGUUGGAUCCACCGACACAUCGCAGCCUGGGCACAUUAGCCAUGGCUAGAAUUGUUUCUUUAUAACUUUAGAUAGUUAUGACGUAUGAUAGGUGUUUAUAAUUUAUAUAUAAACCUAGCUCAAAAAAAAAAAACUUGCGUCCACUAUGUAUAUAAGUUAAUGAAAAUGUAAUAUCAAUCAUUGCUUUGGAAAAUCAUAUACCAAACAAAUGUUGAGGAUAGAAGAGAUGACAAAAAGAAAAGAGUACAGAUGCUGAAUAAUAAAA